This 298-nucleotide long non-coding RNA is filed under the name Triticum aestivum (bread wheat). RNAcentral's name for it is "long non-coding RNA (TAES_LNC027287)". Lineage: Eukaryota; Viridiplantae; Streptophyta; Magnoliopsida; Poales; Poaceae. The record is from RNAcentral.
GCCACCAAUGACAAAGCGGCCUGAUGGAUUCAAGUGGAAUAUGGUCUUCUCGUCCAGGUACUUCUCAGGGAUCACCGGCUUGAUGACAUGCUCCUUGAGGUCCGCAGCAAUCUCAUCAUUGGUGACAGUCUCAUCAUGCUGGGUGGAGAUCAGAACAGUGUGCACACGUACAGGAACCAUGGCACCUCCCUCGUUGAGGUAUUCAACCGUGACCUGGGUUUUGCCAUCAGGCCUUAGCCAGGCACAAGUGCCAUUCUUGCGGACUUCAGUGAGGCGGGCACCCAGCUUGGUGGCAAGC